GAUGCUCCGGUUGGAUGCAUGUCCUUCCGGGAAAGAUUCCAUCGGUAUGGGAUGGGGUCGCGUCCUAUCAGCUUGAUGGCGGGGUAACGGCCCACCAUGGCUUCGACGGGUAGCCGGCCUGAGAGGGCGACCGGCCACAUUGGGACUGAGAUACGGCCCAGACUCCUACGGGAGGCAGCAGUGGGGAAUAUUGCACAAUGGGCGCAAGCCUGAUGCAGCGACGCCGCGUGCGGGAUGGAGGCCUUCGGGUUGUAAACCGCUUUUGAUCGGGAGCAAGCCCUUCGGGGUGAGUGUACCUUUCGAAUAAGCACCGGCUAACUACGUGCCAGCAGCCGCGGUAAUACGUAGGGUGCAAGCGUUAUCCGGAAUUAUUGGGCGUAAAGGGCUCGUAGGCGGUUCGUCGCGUCCGGUGUGAAAGCCCAUCGCUUAACGGUGGGUCUGCGCCGGGUACGG
Molecule: ribosomal RNA, 453 nt
Filed under: uncultured Bifidobacterium sp.
Lineage: Bacteria; Bacillati; Actinomycetota; Actinomycetes; Bifidobacteriales; Bifidobacteriaceae
Description: bacterial SSU rRNA
Rfam family: Bacterial small subunit ribosomal RNA
Source: RNAcentral